Molecule: long non-coding RNA, 1166 nt
Filed under: Dermacentor andersoni
Lineage: Eukaryota; Metazoa; Arthropoda; Arachnida; Ixodida; Ixodidae
Description: uncharacterized LOC126530923
Source: RNAcentral
CAGUCUUUCAACGGCACUAGAGCUGGUUCUGCUGACAUACUUUGGCCAAUGUUCCACUACAACUCGGCGUACUAUAGUCUAAACUGUGAGUGUUAUUUCAGCUGACUCCUAUGACAGCGUGACAGCGGCCUUCGUAAGCGUCACGAACGUCAACGCUAUUUGUGCCUAAGCGGAGAGCAUCUAGCUGGACGCCUCUUGUGGUAUUAAUUUGACGCUAUGGUUUCUGCUGGGCAGUGCUUCUCAGGCAUAGGCACGAACACGAACAACCGCUAAGUGCUUUAUGUUUUCACUGCCUUUUUGUAUUAGCUCACUCACACACAAAAGAGCUUCUAGCGCAGUUCUUCCAAUAAAGCGUAGCCUUUGAGCGCAGUAGUGUGCUUUCUAUCGAAAUAUUGCAUUAAGGAUACCCAAUGCUCGCACGCAAACGCGCUCACGUGUCUUAAAGGUCUUGGCGCACUGUAUACAUCUGAACGUUGUUGUAUCUCAUAUGCCUCGUCAGUCACCUGUUCACAGUUUUCUCAUCCAACAUGUGCGCACUGUUGACGUCGUCUCAAUACCGAACUCAUUUUUCCCUCCUGUGAUUGUCGAUGCCCAGUUGACAACUAAUGUUGAUUGUUGCCCAUGUGCGUCCAAAUAGUGACCCCUUUGUGCAAUACUAUUUCGAGCUAGUACACAAAGCGUUCGUGUGCAUGGCUUUGAUGGCGGCCAUUUACUUAUAUGUACAUCCAGGUUAGUGAGCUUUCUUGCCAGUGAAAUCAGACGGCGCGCAUUUAACGAGAUGGCAGUCAUGGUUCUGAUUUCGCGGAGCAGUUCUGACACACAGUGACUACGCGUGUCGCCACAGGUUAGGUGGUGUAAACGAAAUAUUUUAUUCUGCAUCAGACUUACGAAGAGACAAUCGAACAGGUCCAUAUGACGAAGUAUAUUUCAACGCUUGACCAGACUUGCAGUCGCUGCUAAAAUGUGCUCCUAUUGUACUUGAAGCCGGAACCGCGCAUUCGGCGCUAUUAACGGCACAGAAUUGUAUUAUGUUUUAGUAGUGAUUAUUAUGUUAGUACGCCUCACAACAUAUGCGAAAAUUGCUUAAAGUAUUUUCUGAUUAACUAUGUGAGCAUCGGAGCAUGAUGUUAUGUGAUCUUUACAAAUAAAGAAGUUGCUGAAAGCUU